UACUUGCAAUGAUGACGUCGGGUAGGAUAAUUAAUUACACAGUGUAUAUGGUUAUCACGGUCGAUGACGUCACAAAAAGUGACGUCACGUCGAAACUUUAAAGUGAUUUUUCGUUGCAGUGAAGAUACCACUGAAGAAACUACAGACUCACAGAUAUGUAUUGCUACAAUCUCUUCCCAAUAUAUUCACAAAUUUAUUUUGAAGUAUACCAGUAUGCCAUAUUACUCAUAUUAGUGUUGCUGUAAACAUGGUAAAAAAUCAAGUAAAAAAUACUAUAAAGACAAUCAAUCUAAAUAAUAAUUGGGGGGAAAACAUAUCCGUUAUUGUAUGAAGUCUUCUUCUAAAUUUUCUCUGUUUUAUCCCAUUUAAAUUAUACACUUCUAUUUAAUGAGUUAUAAAUGUAUUAAA
Non-coding RNA from Onthophagus taurus, 408 nucleotides. The record is from RefSeq and is a predicted model, not a curated record. Lineage: Eukaryota; Metazoa; Arthropoda; Insecta; Coleoptera; Scarabaeidae.